Molecule: ribosomal RNA, 1361 nt
Filed under: uncultured bacterium
Lineage: Bacteria
Description: bacterial SSU rRNA
Rfam family: Bacterial small subunit ribosomal RNA
Source: RNAcentral
GAUGAACGCUAGCGACAGGCUUAACACAUGCAAGUCGAGGGGCAGCGGGGUAGUGCUUGCACUACUGCCGGCGACCGGCACACGGGUGAGUAACACGUAUGGAACCUGCCCGCAUCAGGGGGAUAAGCGGAAGAAAUUCCCUCUAAUACCGCGUAACAACGUUCGGAGGCAUCUCCCGAUGUUUAAAGAUUUAUCGGCUGCUGAUGGCCAUGCGGCACAUUACCUAGUCAGCGGGGUAACGGCCCACCAAGGCGACGAUGCCUAAGGGUUCUGACAGGAAGGUCCCCCACGCUGGUACUGACACACUGACCAGACUCCUACGGGAGGCAACAAUGAGGAAUAGUGGUCAAUGGCCAACAGGCUGAACCACCCAAGUCACGAGAGGGAUGACGGCCCUACAGGUUGUAAACCUCUUUUGUCAGGGAGCAAAGGGAGUCACGUGUGACUCAUUGAAAGUACCCGAAUAAAAAGCAUCGGCUAACUCCGUGCCAGCAGCCGCGAUAAUACGGACGAUGCCAGCAUUAUCCGGAUUUAUUGGGUUUAAAGGGUGCGCAGGCAGACGUGCAACUCAGCGGUCAAAUUGCGGGGCUCAACCCCGUACUGCCGUUGAAACUGCAUCCCUUGAGUGCGCGAGAAGUAUGCGGAAUGCGUGGUGUAGCGGUGAAAUGCAUAGAUAUCACGCAGAACUCCGAUUGCGAAGGCAGCAUACCGGCGCGCAACUGACGCUCAUGCACGAAAGCGUGGGUAUCGAACAGGAUUAGAUACCCUGGUAGUCCACGCAGUAAACGAUGAACACUAACUGUUCGGCCAGAAUGAUGGCUGAGUGGUACAGCGAAAGCGUUAAGUGUUCCACCUGGGGAGUACGCCGGCAACGGUGAAACUCAAAGGAAUUGACGGGGGCCCGCACAAGCGGAGGAACAUGUGGUUUAAUUCGAUGAUACGCGAGGAACCUUACCCGGGCUCAAACGACACAGGAAUACUUUUGAAAGGAGGUAGCCCUACGGGGUCUGUGUCGAGGUGCUGCAUGGUUGUCGUCAGCUCGUGCCGUGAGGUGUCGGCUUAAGUGCCAUAACGAGCGCAACCCCUAUCGCCAGUUGCCAUCAAGUAAAGUUGGGGACUCUGGCGAGACUGCCGGCGCAAGCUGUGAGGAAGGCGGGGAUGACGUCAAAUCAGCACGGCCCUUACGUCCGGGGCGACACACGUGUUACAAUGGCAGGUACAGAGAGAAGCCAGGUGGCGACACCGAGCGGAACUCGAAAGCCUGUCUCAAUUCGGAUCGGAGUCUGCAACCCGACUCCGUGAAGCUGGAUUCGCUAGUAAUCGCGCAUCAGCCAUGGCGCGGUGAAUACGUUCCCGGGCCU